UAGGGAAUCUUCGGCAAUGGACGGAANNNUGGACCGAGCAACCNCGCGUGAGUGAAGAAGGUUUUCGGAUCGUAAAGCUCUGUUGUAAGAGAAGAACGAGUGUGAGAGUGGAAAGUUCACACUGUGACGGUAUCUUACCAGAAAGGGACGGCUAACUACGUGCCAGCAGCCGCGGUAAUACGUAGGUCCCGAGCGUUGUCCGGAUUUAUUGGGCGUAAAGCGAGCGCAGGCGGUUAGAUAAGUCUGAAGUUAAAGGCUGUGGCUUAACCAUAGUACGCUUUGGAAACUGUUUAACUUGAGUGCAAGAGGGGAGAGUGGAAUUCCAUGUGUAGCGGUGAAAUGCGUAGAUAUAUGGAGGAACACCGGUGGCGAAAGCGGCUCUCUGGCUUGUAACUGACGCUGAGGCUCGAAAGCGUGGGGAGCAAACAGGAUUAGAUACCCUGGUAGUCCACGCCGUAAACGAUGAGUGCUAGGUGUUAGACCCUUUCCGGGGUUUAGUGCCGCAGCUAACGCAUUAAGCACUCCGCCUGGGGAGUACGACCGCAAGUUG
RNAcentral lists this ribosomal RNA (550 nucleotides) under uncultured bacterium. RNAcentral's name for it is "bacterial SSU rRNA". It matches the Rfam family "Bacterial small subunit ribosomal RNA", at positions 355 to 896 of the family's 1533-position model. The record is from RNAcentral.